AUAACCCAGAGGUCGAUGGAUCG
Molecule: non-coding RNA, 23 nt
Filed under: Gallus gallus (chicken)
Lineage: Eukaryota; Metazoa; Chordata; Aves; Galliformes; Phasianidae
Also listed under: 2 other names
Source: RNAcentral